Papaver somniferum (opium poppy) is the source of this 1321-nucleotide long non-coding RNA. RefSeq lists it as uncharacterized. The transcript has 2 exons. NCBI's taxonomy places the organism in Eukaryota, Viridiplantae, Streptophyta, Magnoliopsida, Ranunculales, Papaveraceae. The record is from RefSeq and is a predicted model, not a curated record.
UUAUAUAAUCGAAAGCCAAAUCCUGAAUCCCGGAUUUCCGCAUUUAGAAAAUGAACAACGUUGUUAAUUUUUCCGAAGGUUAUUAGAGGUAAACCGUAUACGAAGACCCUAUUGAAUUUUUUUUUGUCAAAACAGAGAAGAUCGUGAAGAAGAAAAAGCCACGAGAAAGUUGGUAUCAAAUUGAAAUGUUAAUGAAAUAUCGAUUGUUGCGGCAUCAGUUCAUAUAAAUGGAAUAAUAGAUUAUUCGAGAUGGAUUGAAUUAGCUGUUGUUGCAUGCAAUGGUGCUGUGGUUGGAUUUGAAUUCAAAUUUAGGGAGAAAUGAAGAUGGUGCUUAGGUAGUGGUUGGUACAGAACAUGGGGAUUAGUAUGGGUCGAAGACGUGAUUUUGCGGCUACAGAGAAGUCGAUGCAUUUGUUGGAAAAAUGGGUUGUGUUUAGAAUUGGAAUUGAUUGAUUGAGCUGGUUGUUAUGGAAUUAAUUUAUUUGCUUUGAAUUCAUAGUGGAGGUGAUGUUCAGUUGGUUACAGAACAAGUAGGUGGCUGCAGUUGGAGUUAGGAAAAGUUUGGGUCAAUUUCAAUUGAAGCAGUGGUGGUUGUAUGUGUUUGAUGCAUGAUUGCGGGCGGUUAAUUCAUGCUAAAUUGCAGCAGGGAGAUGGAGUCUUUGAAGGAAAAAUGUUUGCUCUCGCGGUUCUAGAUCAUCUUUGACCUAGCACCGUGGCCAGUCAUUUAGGUGCUUACAGUUUUUGAAGGUUUGAAGGCUUAGUGUCUGUUUUAAAUCCAUUCCACCACUUGCUUUCAUCUGUGUUCUUCUCGUUACUCUGUUGCGCAAGGACCAACUGAGGUUUGGGCAUGCUUAAUUAGUUUCUUUACAUAUUAAAUGUAAUAUGGUUAGAAAUCAAACCUUUUAUUUAUACUGGAAGAACCUUUACCUCUAUGCACUGGAAAGGCAUAUUUUCUCUCAUGUAGUUUUUAUCCACUAGUUCCUUGAGCUUUUAUAAGACGUGUUCCCAAACAGAAAUGUGAUACAAGGCUCUUUGAUGUACAUACAUAACUUGGAAAUAAAGCUGAUGGCUCCGAAUUCACACACAUUAAGUUUGCCGGUGUUGUACGCUUCGAUGAUCGAUGUAAGAUUGAAGGUGUGUAUUUGGAUUUGUUCUCAAAAUGUAUGACAGGAAAGGAUAGUAGGAAUUCUGCAGAUUCAUAGAUUUUCCUUUGCGCAGAAUAUAUAAAGAUAUGUGAUUUAUCUUCUAAUAUGUUGACGUCAUAAGCACCUAAUUUAUUGCCCACGGUCAAUUGUGGUUUUUCGAAUUUUUUCGUUUUGGA